RNAcentral lists this ribosomal RNA (460 nucleotides) under uncultured bacterium. RNAcentral describes it as "partial 16S ribosomal RNA". It matches the Rfam family "Bacterial small subunit ribosomal RNA", at positions 338 to 795 of the family's 1533-position model. The record is from RNAcentral.
CCUACGGGUGGCAGCAGUGAGGAAUAUUGGUCAAUGGACGAGAGUCUGAACCAGCCAAGUAGCGUGAAGGAUGACUGCCCUAUGGGUUGUAAACUUCUUUUAUAUGGGAAUAAAAUGUUCCACGUGUGGGAUUUUGUAUGUACCAUAUGAAUAAGGAUCGGCUAACUCCGUGCCAGCAGCCGCGGUAAUACGGAGGAUCCGAGCGUCAUCCGGAUUUAUUGGGUUUAAGGGGAGCGUAGGUGGAUUGUUAAGUCAGUUGUGAAAGUUUGCGGCUCAACCGUAAAAUUGCAGUUGAAACUGGCAGUCUUGAGUACAGUAGAGGUGGGCGGAAUUCGUGGUGUAGCGGUGAAAUGCUUAGAUAUCACGAAGAACUCCGAUUGCGAAGGCAGUUCACUGGACUGCAACUGACACUGAGGCUCGAAAGUGUGGGUAUCAAACAGGAUUAGAUACCCCAGUAGUC